AGAGUUUGAUCCUGGCUCAGGAUGAACGCUGGCGGCGUGCUUAACACAUGCAAGUCGAACGAUGAAGCCCAGCUUGCUGGGUGGAUUAGUGGCGAACGGGUGAGUAACACGUGAGUAACCUGCCCUUGACUCUGGGAUAAGCCUGGGAAACUGGGUCUAAUACUGGAUAUGACUUCUCACCGCAUGGUGGGGGUGGAAAGAUUUAUUGGUCUUGGAUGGACUCGCGGCCUAUCAGCUUGUUGGUGAGGUAAUGGCUCACCAAGGCGACGACGGGUAGCCGGCCUGAGAGGGUGACCGGCCACACUGGGACUGAGACACGGCCCAGACUCCUACGGGAGGCAGCAGUGGGGAAUAUUGCACAAUGGGCGCAAGCCUGAUGCAGCGACGCCGCGUGAGGGAUGACGGCCUUCGGGUUGUAAACCUCUUUCAGUAGGGAAGAAGCGAAAGUGACGGUACCUGCAGAAGAAGCGCCGGCUAACUACGUGCCAGCAGCCGCGGUAAUACGUAGGGCGCGAGCGUUAUCCGGAAUUAUUGGGCGUAAAGAGCUCGUAGGCGGUUUGUCGCGUCUGCCGUGAAAGUCCGGGGCUUAACCCCGGAUCUGCGGUGGGUACGGGCAGACUAGAGUGCAGUAGGGGAGACUGGAAUUCCUGGUGUAGCGGUGAAAUGCGCAGAUAUCAGGAGGAACACCGAUGGCGAAGGCAGGUCUCUGGGCUGUAACUGACGCUGAGGAGCGAAAGCAUGGGGAGCGAACAGGAUUAGAUACCCUGGUAGUCCAUGCCGUAAACGUUGGGCACUAGGUGUGGGGGACAUUCCACGUUUUCCGCGCCGUAGCUAACGCAUUAAGUGCCCCGCCUGGGGAGUACGGCCGCAAGGCUAAAACUCAAAGGAAUUGACGGGGGCCCGCACAAGCGGCGGAGCAUGCGGAUUAAUUCGAUGCAACGCGAAGAACCUUACCAAGGCUUGACAUGUUCCUGACCGCCGUAGAGAUACGGUUUCCCCUUUGGGGCAGGUUCACAGGUGGUGCAUGGUUGUCGUCAGCUCGUGUCGUGAGAUGUUGGGUUAAGUCCCGCAACGAGCGCAACCCUCGUUCCAUGUUGCCAGCACGUAGUGGUGGGGACUCAUGGGAGACUGCCGGGGUCAACUCGGAGGAAGGUGGGGACGACGUCAAAUCAUCAUGCCCCUUAUGUCUUGGGCUUCACGCAUGCUACAAUGGCCGGUACAAUGGGUUGCGAUACUGUGAGGUGGAGCUAAUCCCAAAAAGCCGGUCUCAGUUCGGAUUGGGGUCUGCAACUCGACCCCAUGAAGUCGGAGUCGCUAGUAAUCGCAGAUCAGCAACGCUGCGGUGAAUACGUUCCCGGGCCUUGUACACACCGCCCGUCAAGUCGCGAAAGUUGGUAACACCCGAAGCCGGUGGCCUAACCCUUGUGGGGGGAGCCGCCGAAGGUGGGACUGGCGAUUGGGACUAAGUCGUAACAAGGUAGCCGUACCGGAAGGUGCGGCUGGAUCACCUCCUU
This 1514-nucleotide ribosomal RNA is filed under the name Micrococcus luteus. RNAcentral describes it as "bacterial SSU rRNA". It matches the Rfam family "Bacterial small subunit ribosomal RNA". Lineage: Bacteria; Bacillati; Actinomycetota; Actinomycetes; Micrococcales; Micrococcaceae. RNAcentral also lists the same sequence under 2 other names. The record is from RNAcentral.